GCGGGGAUGAGGUGUGGGUAGGGGUGAAAUGCCAAUCGAACCUGGAGAUAGCUGGUUCUCUCCGAAAUAGCUUUAGGGCUAGCCUCAAGGUAAGAGUCUUGGAGGUAGAGCACUGAUUGGACUAGGGCCCUACCGGUUACCGAAUUCAGUCAAACUCCGAAUGCCAAAGACUUAUCCUUGGGAGUCAGACUGCGAGUGAUAAGAUCCGUAGUCGAAAGGGAAACAGCCCAGACCGCCAGCUAAGGUCCCAAGUAUACGUUA
RNAcentral lists this ribosomal RNA (261 nucleotides) under Bacillus licheniformis. Its description in RNAcentral is "partial 23S ribosomal RNA". It matches the Rfam family "Bacterial large subunit ribosomal RNA", at positions 798 to 1061 of the family's 2925-position model. Lineage: Bacteria; Bacillati; Bacillota; Bacilli; Caryophanales; Bacillaceae. The record is from RNAcentral.